Molecule: ribosomal RNA, 1134 nt
Filed under: uncultured cyanobacterium
Lineage: Bacteria; Bacillati; Cyanobacteriota
Description: bacterial SSU rRNA
Rfam family: Bacterial small subunit ribosomal RNA
Source: RNAcentral
CCUGACGGAGCAAUACCGCGUGAGGGAUGAAGGUUCGUGGAUUGUAAACCUCUUUUUUCAGGGAAGAUAAUGACGGUACCUGAAGAAUAAGCAUCGGCUAACUCCGUGCCAGCAGCCGCGGUAAGACGGAGGAUGCAAGCGUUAUCCGGAAUUAUUGGGCGUAAAGCGUACGCAGGUGGCAUAUCAAGUCCUUUGUUAAAGCGCGAGGCUCAACCUCGUAAAGGCAGAGGAAACUGGUAAGCUAGAGUAUGGUAGGGGCAGGAGGAAUUCCCAGUGUAGCGGUGAAAUGCGUAGAUAUUGGGAAGAACACCAGCGGCGAAGGCGUCCUGCCAAGCCAAAACUGACACUCAUGUACGAAAGCUAGGGGAGCGAAUGGGAUUAGAUACCCCAGUAGUCCUAGCCGUAAACGAUGGGUACUAGGUGUUGGGAGUAUCGACCCUCUCAGUGCCGUAGCUAACGCGUUAAGUACCCCGCCUGGGGAGUACGGUCGCAAGAUUGAAACUCAAAGGAAUUGACGGGGGCCCGCACAAGCGGUGGAGUAUGUGGUUUAAUUCGAUGCAACGCGAAGAACCUUACCAAGACUUGACAUCCUAUGAAUCCCCUUGAAAGGGGGGAGUGCCUUCGGGAGCAUAGAGACAGGUGGUGCAUGGCUGUCGUCAGCUCGUGUCGUGAGAUGUUGGGUUAAGUCCUGCAACGAGCGCAACCCUCAUUUUUAGUUGCCAUCAUUAAGUUGGGCACUCUAGAGAGACCGCCGGUGACAAACCGGAGGAAGGUGGGGAUGACGUCAAGUCAGCAUGCCCCUUACGUCUUGGGCUACACACGUACUACAAUGGCUGGGACAAAGAGUCGCAAGUAUGCGAAUGCAAGCUAAUCUCAUAAACCCAGUCUUAGUUCAGAUCGUAGGCUGCAACUCGCCUACGUGAAGGCGGAAUCGCUAGUAAUCGCAGAUCAGAAUGCUGCGGUGAAUACGUUCCCGGGCCUUGUACACACCGCCCGUCACACCAUGGAAGUUGGUCACGCCCGAAGUCGUUAUUCUAACCCUUGUGGAAGAAGGCGCCUAAGGCAGGGCUGAUGACUGGGGUGAAGUCGUAACAAGGUAGCCGUACCGGAAGGUGCGGCUGGAUCACCUCCUUA